CAUGUCCUACGGGGGGCAGCAGUGAGGAAUAUUGGUCAAUGGCCGGAAGGCUGAACCAGCCAAGCCGCGUGAAGGACGAAGGGGCCAAGCAUUGUAAACUUCUUUUGUCAAGGGACAAAAUCAGGCUCGAGAGCCUGACCGAGGGUACUUGAAGAAAAAGCAUCGGCUAACUCCGUGCCAGCAGCCGCGGUAAUACGGAGGAUGCGAGCGUUAUCCGGAUUUAUUGGGAUUAAAGGGUGCGUAGGCGGACUGGUAAGUCAGCGGUAAAAGCACGGG
RNAcentral lists this ribosomal RNA (276 nucleotides) under uncultured bacterium. RNAcentral describes it as "partial 16S ribosomal RNA". It matches the Rfam family "Bacterial small subunit ribosomal RNA", at positions 333 to 606 of the family's 1533-position model. The record is from RNAcentral.